UAAAAGCAUAUUAAACCUGACAAACCUGACAAAAAUUUGCAUAUUAUUGUAGCUGAGUUAGUUCUGAAAACAACACUGUGUGUCAGGGUGAUAAAAUUUGCAUCCGCCCCCAGUUUAUCCCUCGGUGUCCAACAUUAACACUUUUAAUCAUGUUUACUGUUGGUACUUUUUAAAAUGUUUUUAUUUUUUCUAAACUGCUAUACAUAUAUGUUGUUUAUGUGUUGUAGAGAUGGAAUAUUUCCCUGCACUUGGAUGCCUGGAUGUUCUGACAAGUGAAAUGCAGAAAUUUGGCUUGCAAAGUCAGUGACUCCGCCCUUUGUUGUUGAUGCCGGAGUUUUUCAUAUUUAUUCUCGUACAUUUGUACAGUAGUACAGCAGUUUUGCAUAUUAAAUUAAAACUCAGUGGCUUAAAGGGUUAUGAGCUUUAAUAUCACUUGAUGCAUUCUUCACUGUUCCUUUGUGUAACUCCAGGAUGUCUUCAACCUCCAUAUAACCACAAUCACUGUGAUAUGAAGAGCCGCACAAGACAUCUAUAUUACAGAUCAGCCACAAACUGCUCCUUCACGGCAACCUUUAUCACAAAUGGCCAAUAAACUGAACAGAACGGCAGAGUUUAUGGCUCCGAGUCUGGUUUUGUAGUUUGAUCAGAUGCUGUUGGUUUUCCAAGCUGGCAUCAAAUCAUUAGAAUCAAACACUCAAAGGCCUGGGAUGAGAGAUAGAGCGGAGAAGUACACACCGAGUAGGAAGCCUAUCAGAAGGGACAGAUAUGAUGCAAUGGAAGAAAUAAUGGAGGAACUGGAAAAUGAAAGGUUCAAACCUUCCCAAGAAAAGCAAUGAUAUCUAUCUUUGAAGUCGGUGAAUCAAACUGGAUUUUGUCAACCAGGUGUCUGUUCUACAAGCAACUGACAAGCAACAUCUGUUCACAGAUGCCAAGAAGCAGUAUCCCAACCACCCUGACUCUGUCAGUUCCUCUCUUUCUUUCUUUCUUUCUUUCUUUCUUUCUUUCUUUCUUUCUUUCUUUCUUUCUUUCUUUCUCAUGCAAGUCCAGAUCUUCUCUUCAGACAACUGAUAGAAAAGGUACUGAUGUCAAUUUGGACACUGGACAGUACUGGGAUCCACAAGGUUGGACAUUUGUAGUGGGGACACAUUGAAAAGCCUUAGGGCAGCCACAGUGAAUCAUCUCUCUCCACCUAUCCCUAUCUUCUGCAUCCGCACCACUAUGAAGCUAGUGGAGCUUCAUAUCCUCAUUUAUUACAUCCAUAAGUCUCAAAUCUGACUGAACUCAUUCUGGGGAUUCCUUCUGAGGAUCUCAGACUAGGAGCUCAUAAAGCCGGGUCAACAGCGGGCCAGUGGUGGCCUGCAGGCACAACACACACAUCAGACCCCACUCUCAGUCUCUGCCUACGCAAGCCAACAUGCUAUCCAGCAUUCUAAGUGACACUCAUCCUUAAAAUAUAUUAUAUUAAAGCAAGAGUAAGGUAGUUAAACAUCAAACAGAGGGAUGCUAUGCCAUGACCAUGAGAGCAAACACUGGACCAGUACAGACUCCGGCUUCAGGCUUCGACUCAGUUCUUAUCGAGAGCAAGCUAUGCAAAGCAUCCUUUAACGCUGCAUUGCUCACGGGGAAAUGAUUCAAAGAAUGCUAUUUAUUCCAAGGAAGAGGUCAAUAACGCUCUCUGAAGGUUACACCCUGUCAAAGAAUGUGAAUGAUGGCUAAAUGUGAAGAAUGCAUAUUACCAUGUAUCAGUGUUUGCACUUACAGCCUUACAUGGUGGAAACGGAGCUGUAAACACCUCUGCUUUCACUUUCACUCCAGCCACCAGAGAGCUAUUAGCACCUCUUGACAUUUCAUCUCGGCCAUAAAACCGUUGUAUAUGAGAAGCGAAGCAGGAAUUUGCGCAGCAGGGCCUUUCCAUCUCCAUCGGAAUUGAAGCGUGAGUUGGUCAAUGUCUGAAUGAACCUCCCGGCAGCUGUGUGCAGUCAGCCAUAUCAUGCCACUCAAGCAUUCAUUUAACUUAAUCAUAUGCUUAUGUCCAACGCAUCCCAGAUCGCUGUGUAUGGACGAUGAGAUGUUGUGCAGAUGUGUAAAAAUAUAUACUGAAAUAUUACAGAAGAGCAAAUGUGCAGCAGAAAUAUAUAAACAUUCAAUAUACACACUUUUUCUUAUUGAGUGCCGUAAAUGAUUCAAUUCCCCGUGGACAGGAGGAGGAGCAAUGUGGUAAUGCAAGCAGGCAGCCAGCCAAACACACCGGAGAGAGAAAGAUGCUGAGGAGAGGAUAAAUUUUGGAAGAAGAGGGAGGCUAAUUAUGAUAUUAAUCACAUUUUAAUUUCAAUUCACCCAGUAACCGUCAAACACGCUCAUGCUAAUCAGACCAGCUGAGGAAGACUGCCAAAGCUAAGAGUAUUAACACAUCUCAUAGAGAGAGAAAGAGAGAGAGAGAGACAUAGACAGUGCGAUAGAGAGAGAGAGACUGAUGAAGAAAUGCAUGGGGCCAGAGUGAAAUCAAACUGACUGCUGCCUUUCAUCCAGCCAGAACCUCCGCAGGGCACCAGCAGACGGAGGGAUGGAUAAAAAGGAUUGACAAAGAAAGGGAAAUGACAUGUCUAUGGAAAUGACAAGUUAUUAACGCCAAAGGACACAAAGUGUUUAUCGCACGUGCGGAAAGGGUGUGAUCAGCGUCUGAAGCGAGCGGCGUCAGAACGUGGGUGGGGUAUAUGGGUGAGCCCUGUGCACUUCACCAGGCCCUGUCUGCUUUCCGAGACACAUCCUAUACCGUGUGGAUUGGAGAAUUUCACAUCUGCAGGUCCUUUUGUACGAGUGACUGACCGGCUGUCUGUGUUCUUCUCGAUCCGAACGGAACGAGAAGGAAGAAUGAAUGAAAGCGGCACUGCAAGUUGCAAGGGACAUGAUCUAUUAAAUAGAUGGAGUAAUGCAUUACACUAAUAAUCUAAAAUUUCGUUUGCCCAGAAGCUAAGCCUUAUUUUCUCCUUCAUUUCAGGUCGAGUUCAGUUCAGAUUAAAUAGAGAGAGAGAGAAAGAGAGAGAGAGAGAGAGAGAGAGAGAGAGUUAGGGAAUGAAUGCUGAUGGCCUGAAGUGCCCUUCUCUCCUCCCUCCCACUAACCCUCUUUACUUCCAAUCCGACCCUUAAACUUCCUCUCCUCCUUUUUGCAUCCCCCUUUCUCGCCUCUCUAUCCGUCUCUGUCUCCUCUCUUCUUUCACUUACAAACUCUUUCUCCCCCCUUUCUUCCCUCUCCACUCGAAUUUUCAGACACUCUCUCUCUCUCUCUCUCUCUCGUAGGAGAGCCGGGCGGGUGCCUCCAUGGUUACCUGGCACCGUGCCAUCUCAUUACACCGCCAAUUGAUUCUGGAGCACUGCCACGUCCGUUACCCCCACCACCACCACCACUGCCAC
Long non-coding RNA from Hemibagrus wyckioides, 3411 nucleotides. RefSeq lists it as uncharacterized. The record is from RefSeq and is a predicted model, not a curated record. The transcript is spliced from 3 exons. NCBI's taxonomy places the organism in Eukaryota, Metazoa, Chordata, Actinopteri, Siluriformes, Bagridae.